This 521-nucleotide small RNA is filed under the name Pan troglodytes (chimpanzee). RNAcentral's name for it is "retained intron". The record is from RNAcentral. Lineage: Eukaryota; Metazoa; Chordata; Mammalia; Primates; Hominidae.
GGACGCACUUGUCUUAGCAGUUCUCGCUGACCGCGCUAGCUGCGGCUUCUACGCUCCGGCACUCUGAGUUCAUCAGCAAACGCCCUGGCGUCUGUCCUCACCAUGCCUAGCCUUUGGGACCGCUUCUCGUCGUCGUCCACCUCCUCUUCGCCCUCGUCCUUGCCCCGAACUCCCACCCCAGAUCGGCCGCCGCGCUCAGCCUGGGGGUCGGCGGCCCGGGAGGAGGGGUUUGACCGCUCCACGAGCCUGGAGAGCUCGGACUGCGAGUCCUUGGACAGCAGCAACAGUGGCUUCGGGCCGGAGGAAGGUGAGCGGUGGGCGGGUGCCGACGCGACUCGAGGGGCCGGGAAGGUGGGGAAGCCCCGGUGCUGGAAGGGGUCAGAGCCGCCUUGGCUUCCUAUCCCAUCGGGACCCAGAUUGCUUGGGGGCAGGGGGAAUUGGAGUAUAAGGUGAGUGAGGCGGAAACUGAGGCACGGAGUGGGAAGGAGCGUUGGUUUCUUAAGGAAACAGCACCUCCCCCG